CACAGGGCCCCUAUUGUUGUUGCCGUUGUUGUUGGCUGUGGUAGUCGUGCUGCUACCAGUCCCAAUGGGGCCACGAAAUUGAUUUGUGUGUUUGUGCAUUCUCCUCCGUGUUUCUCAGAAAUCGAUUUUCACUCGCCUCCACGACUUUUCGCAUUUCCUUCUCGUCUCCAUCGUAUCGGUAAUAUUCACAACAACUAUCUCUUAUAUUUCUCGAACUACAUCCUUCUUCUACUUUUCUUUUCUCUUUGACUUCUUUCAAGUGUAUCCCUUUUGUUGAAUAAAAUAUUUCCUUCCUUUAUAAUGAGACUCCUUUCAAUGCUUAAAAGCCGAAGAAUCAAAUAAGGACUUUAUCUCUUCCAAAACAUUAAAAUUCCUUUUGGUCUUCCUAAGAAACCAUCUAGAAAAGUGUUCGCGAGUUGUUAUGAUCACUCGUGAAUGAUCCACCGAACGAUCGAUUCCUAUUUCCGAUAUUUCCUUCGUACUCGAUUCGUGUGUCUACCAGGAAAGAAUAUUGUCGGUCUAGAAUCAUUUACAUAUAUAUAUAUAUAUAUAUAUAUAUAUAUAUAUAUACACUCUAAUAACAAUCAGAAAUUUCUUCUUCGAUUCUUUUCUACGUGCCCAAUCGUUAUUCCUAACCUUUUUCUAACAACACGAGAAACGUGCCACUUGCGUGAAAAGGUACGCUCGACUAACGGCCGACGCGUCUCAUACUUAUCUCUCUCUCUCUCUUUCUUCUCUCUCUCUCUCUCUCUCUCUCUCUCUCUUUCUCCCUUUCUCCCUAUCUUUAAAUUGUGCUUUAUCAAUUCGGUGCGUUUGCACGGAAGCACGAUAACAGAACGAAGAGAGAAGAACUACGCGAUGGCAACGACGACGACGACGACGACGACGACGACGACGACGACGAUAAAAUCCGAGACAGCCGUAAGGGAGUCGUCGCUUCUUUCGAGUUAGCCGCGUAGUGGUAUCAUAAAACGAUAAGUAUCCUCCUCCUCCACCUCCUCCUGUUCCUUUUCCUCCCUUUCUCCCCUCCCCGUUUCUUUCCAGUAACAAUCCUUCGUCCAAUUUCGAAAGCUGCUUCGUGAGCCGUCUCCUAUCAAACACGGCCGUUUGAUCGUAAAACUAUCGUUUUCGUUGCAACGUGCGUUCUAGUAGAAGCGACAGCUCGAUUUCGUAUCGUUUUCAACGAACACCCUUAUACGACCGAUAAUGCGAUCGUCGAUAGGAAACAAAGUCAUUCGGAUGUUACCGGAUAUUGUCGUGUUACAAUGAAGAUAAACGAAAGAAUAUUUCGAAAGAGAAUCGAAUCACCAAUGGAGGAAUCGUAUUACAAACACAACAUACGAAUACAAUGGACAAUCGAAUCUCGCGCGAAUUGGAAUUUUAAAUCGAUCGGAAAUUUUUCGUGUAUAAAUCGAUCUUGAUAUACAUAUAUAUAUAUAUAUAUGCUCGAUUUCGUACAUGCUUCGUAAAUGAUCUCGCUACGAAGCAUAAUUUUAUAUAAAAUAUAAAUUAUUUUUUGUGCCAAUUUAAAAGAGGGUAUUGAAAAAAAAAAAAGAAAAAAGAAAGAAAGAAAGAAAGAAAGAAAGAAAGAAAGAAAAAUAAAGACAAACAGAGAAAGAAGGAGAUAAAGAAGAGAAAGAAGAAAAGAAAAAGCAUCUAUGAAACUUGGAAAACAUAAAACGGGAUGAAAGUCGAACUUCUUUUAUCGUCCCUUUUUUUACAUCGUCGUAUCGUUAUUACGUUUAUUAUGAACGCUGUAUAGUUCCUCCGAACGAAUCUUAUAUCUUCGAGAAAUAAUUUUAAAUACCGAGAAAUAAAUUCGAACAGACUGUGGAAAAAGUAAAUUUCUUUGUACGAUUGAUAAUAAUUUCGGAUAAAUUUGUUGUGAAAGGAAGAUCGAAAAAAAAAAAAAAAAAAAACAAAAUCGAUUUAUUACGACAAAAAAUGCAUGUAGUCAAACACGUUCAUAACUAUUAACCAUUAUUAUUUCACCUAUAAGUAAAAGAAAAGUUAUAAAGAUAAAAAAAUCCGAAGUUUUUCCGUGAUUUAUCUUUCGAUGUAUAUGUAUAUACUUUAUAAUUUGCAUAGCUUUAUGUAAUAUCUGUCGAAUAAACCUUAAUUCUAAAGUGACGAUAAUCCGAACGAGAACAAGGUAAGAGUAGAGAGGUUUAGAAGAGGAAAAGAGAGGGAAGAAAAAGUGAGAAAAUAAAGAGAGAGAGAGAGAGAGAGAGAGAGAGAGAGAGAGAGAGAGAAGGAUAGAAGGAUAGAAGGAGAGAAAGAAAAGUCCACGUAUAAUGGCACCCGUGGGAACAGCUUAGUAAUGGCGUGUACCAAAGUGCAUAAGAGGCCCCAAAGGAGGGCUAGGUUUAAGGAUAAGGCAAGAGAGUGGGUAGACCUUCUCGAGUAGUGGAUAGAAAUUCAGUGAGCUUGCAAAACCCCUUGAGCACGCGCUCGAGAAGGCGGCUCGUCUUCCUCUUUUCGUAGCAGCCAAGCUUACGAAAGGAAAAUAUAGGAGUACACACUUUCCCAACGACGUUUGUGCUUUUCCGCGCUGAAAAAGAUUUCCUCGUCGUCUCUAUACGUAUCUGCCUACCUGCGUAAUUCAGACAUGUGUACGUAACGCAACUACGUAUGUAUUUAUAUAUAUAUGUAUAUAUGUAUGUAUGUAUGUAUGUAUGUAUGUAUGUAUGUAUGUAUGUAUGUAUGUACGUAUGGAUAAGAGCAAACGUCUGACUUUACUUUGCUCGUGAUACGCUCUUUUCAAGUUGAACGACGAAAUCGAACAACGAAACGAAGUAACGAUUUGGCUUAUCUCGAUUUUCUUCUCGUUGAACUUAAACUUCCUGAUAUUUCCACCGAUCCAAAAUUGAUCCCCGUCGAAUCGAAUUCAUUUCAUAUCGUUUCAUUUCGUUUCAUUUCGUUUCGUUUCGUUUCGUUUCGUUUCGUUUCAUUUCGUUCGUUCGUUCGUUCCAGUUACAUGCGAGUGAUCUAUUUUUUCUUCUUUCUCUUUUUUUCCCUUUUUCCGUUUUCUCCUCCUUCGCUUUUUUCUUUUCUUUUUUUUUUUUUUCUUUUUUCUUUUUCUUCCAAACGGAACAAAACUUUUGCAAUUGAAAUCGUUCGAAUAGAAAAAAUAAACGCACGUUAUUCGAUAUACAUACAUAUCAAUAUUCACGUAACAUUCGUCAUCGAAUUGACCGCCGUUUUGAAAAAAAAAAAAAAAAAAAAAGAAAAAAAAAAAAAAAACGCAUAUAUUUUUGUUAACGUGUUAAACGACGAAUAUAAAUCUAAAAAGUGACGAUGGAUCUUUCCAUCUCGCCACGUUAAAAAAAAAAAAGAAGAAGAAGAAGAAGAAAAAAAAAAGAGAAAGAACAAAAAGAAAAAACAGAAAUUCCGGAAAAAGUAAUUAACUGUAGUAAUAGCGAUAAUUACCGGUGCAGUUUAACGCCACGUUAGGAAAUAGGAGACGAAGAAAACUGCUCGCUCGUAAAAGCGCGAUAGACGAGUACAUGUGUAUGAUUGCUACUCAAAUAUUCAACCGUCUGUGUACGUUUUUCUGCGUGGAUGUAUCUUCCAUUUUCACUGUCUCAUUCUUUCUCACUCUCACUCUCACUUUUUCUCUCUUUUUUUCUCUGUAUAUUUCUUUCUCUCUCUCUCACUCUCUCUCUCUCUCUCUUUCUCUCUCUUGAACGUGCUUGAAUUGCUAUCCAAAGGGAAAGAGAGAGAGAGAGAGAGAGAGAGAGAGAGAGAGAUCGAGUCGUGUUGAGUAUGUUGAGGCCAUACUUGCUUCUAACGAGGAUUGGUCUCUUUAGGUAGAAAUACAUAUAUGUAUGUAUGUGGGUACGUAUGUAUGUAUGUAUGUAUGUAUGUGUUGUAUAUGUUAGAGGAUAGUAGAGGGCGAAGGAAAAUCUCGCCAACUUCAUAGCUUCUACCUGGAACGCUUUACGAAGGACUUAAGGGAAGAACAUUUUACAGGUGCAGCGGUUGUAUCUACUAUCUCAAAGCAAAACUUCUACGAUAUUUCUGUUCCUUCCAUACCUUCCAUUUUCAUGUCUCUCUCUCUCUCUCUCUCUCUCUCUUCUGUACUUUCUCCUUCUCUCUCAUUCCAUUUUAUUAUUCCCUUAGCUUCAGAAGCUUUCCAGCAUAACUGUCGCGUAGUUUCUAGUAAACAAGUUCGCCGAUAUGACGUGAUACCAGAAGAAAAUUGCUACGAAAUAAUCGCGAUAUUAUAUAUGUAUACGUAUAUACACCAUUCUGUAUAUAUGCUAUAAUAUAAUAUAAUAUAAUAUAAUAUAAUAUAAUAUAUAUAUAUAUAUAUGCAUCUAAUGUAUAUAUGUUGCUCCACGAACCGUUCAAAAAUUUACAUUUAAAAUAUAACAGAUUGUAUUUUAAUCUCGACUAUAUCCGUGCGUACCUUCGCCUUUAAAUCCUUCCCCUUUUGAACUUUUUAUUCUUUUUUAACGAAAGAAGAGAUAAAACGUUAUCCCGCAAUGUUUGUGAAUUCCUACCUCGUGAAGAAAGUUUUCUUACAUAGCGUCGGAUUUGCAAAGGUAACGUAAAUUAUCGGCCUAGGAUAAAUUGAGUUCGAAAAGUGGGAUUAAACCUGGUGGAAAAUCGAAUGUUACUAUGUACUUUGCAAACGCCUUGAAAAGUUACGACACAAAAACUUGGAAAUAACGAGAAAGAAAGUCACGAUGGUACCCAUCACCUUUAUAUACCAACGCAAGUCAUAUAGGAUUUCUCUUAUUGUUGGGAAAGAGAAAAACGAAUGUAAAAGCUACGAAACGAAGAGGAGUCAUCGAAGUGGCAAAAAAAAAAAAAAAAAAAAAAAAAAAAAAGAAAUAAGAAGAGAGGGAGAGAGAGAAAGAGAGAGAAAUACGAAAAUAAUCGAAGGAGAGGCAAACCAACGGAGAAGUUAAUUACAAGAACGAUAAGGUGAAACGAAGUGGAAGAAAAAUUUCAAUUUCCAACGAAAUACGCGGACCGUGUCUUCCGGUACAACGAUCCCACUCAGCGUAAACGCAAUUAUUAAUUGUAAUGCCCUCGUGUAGCCGCCUUGAUUAGCACGAUUCUUUUUUUUCUUGUUUUCCUCUUCUUCUUCUUCUUCUUCUUCUACCUUUUUUUUUCCCUUGCUCGGUCAUAAUGAAAGUAGCCGUGCCAUGAAAGUAGCUCGUUCGUGUAAGGCGGUUGAAAUAUAAAAAUUUUAAGCGACUACGAUCAAAAAGAUAAAGAUAAAGAUAAAGAAAAAGAAGAAGAAGAAGAAGAAGAAGGAGCCACGUUUUUACCUUCGAAUUUUAACCAAUCAAGAUAUCUUAAGAAAUCUUAUCGGAUUUUAUUUCGAUAAGAUUCCUCUCGCUUUUCGCUUUCUUCUCAUAAACAUAAGUAUACGCGUAUAUAUAAUACAUAAAUGCUAUUAGUUAUAUAAUUUUUCGUCUAAGACGGAAGAACUAUCUACGUCUAUUAUUAAAUAUUAGCUUUAUGCUCAUUUUUAUUCCUAUAACGUCGUAUUUAGAAAAAAAAAAAAAAGAAAGAGAGAGAAAAAAAAAAAGAAAGAAAUAUAAGUAUUGAGAAAUGUAUGAACGUGCGCGUUGAUCCUUGAAAGAAAAGAAAAGGAAAGAAAAAAAUUAAAAAAAAGAAAAAGAAAAAAAAAAAGAAAAAGAAUGAUGGAAUUUCAAAGAAAAUGAUGAUCGAAUCGAGAAAGGUAAGAGAGUUCGCAAUCGUUAUCGCCAUUGCCUUUUAUCGCGUUUUUUAAAGGGAACAAAUGAAAUUUCCACGUUUCUCUUCGAUGCGACAAAGUGGCUCAUAAUUCUUCUUCGUAGUAUCGCAUGUUUCCACGAGGAUCCGCAUAGUUGACGACAACGAAGUCUUCGAUUUUCGAACUAUCGUCUAACUAAUUGCCCACCUCCCCCCCCCUUCCCCCUCCUCCUCCCCCGUUAGAAUCUCACAAAUUUAUCGAAGUUAUGCUUGCAAUUAUAUACGAAGAAAAAAAAAAAAAAAAGAAAGAGAAAAAUAAAAAUUUAAGAAGUAAUUAUAAUUGAAAGUAAUAAUCAUAAGAAAGUAAUUAUGUUACGUUAGUAUGUCAACAAUAAAUAUAUUUUAAAUGUAUUCGAGUAAAAGGAAGAUCCCAUUUAAAUAUAUUGACAACGAAGCCGAAACCAAAGUCGAUGAAAAAUUGGUAUUAAGUAAGAGAAACUUUUUUCUUAUAAUCCUCCAUCACCAUCCGCCUAUCCAACGUCGUUUCUCGAUGAAGAGCGAUGCUCGGAGCAAAAGGUCGCCAUUAUUUUUCACACGUCUCAGACUACACUUUACGACGUCGAACGGGCUUAAAAGCAAAUGCGGCAAAUAAAUAACAUAAGUUAAAUAUUUACGAGAUACAUCCUUCUUUUUCGACAUUGCAAAUGACCGAUCAUCAACAUUCCAUGUAUAUUAAACGAAACUAUAGAUAAUUACAUAUAUUGAACCUAUCAAAAUAUAUUAUCGACCAGCUGUUGAUCAUUAAGAUUAUACAAUCGAUAAAUGUAUGUAUAUAUAAAUAUCGAUGGUAUUUCAUCAUAAUCGAGGAAAUUGAAAAUAAACGAACUUAUAACGAUAACAUCAUGACGAAUACCGAAGCGACUACGUUUCAAAUACGUAUCAUUUGACGUGCAUUCGAUAGUACCGAAAUGAAACGAUGAUUAAACGGACUUUGUUCUUCGACAUGACAUAGUAAUUGAUACCAAACGAACCACAGAGACUUCAUAUUCCCUUGGUGACGAAAACAUAUUGAUUCGUCGGACGAUAAAUUCAAUCAAGUGAUAAAAGAGGAUAAAAAAAAAAAGAAAAAAAAAAAGAAAGAAGAAAAAAUAAAUAAAGAAAAAAAACGUCUAUUUGAAAUACUAUUAUCGUACUAAUUUCAUUUAUCCAAAGGAUUCUCUUUGAGACGUAACAGAGUUGAACGAAUCUAAUGCUAUAUGUAUAGUUGAAAAGGAUAUUUCUUUGAAAAGAUAAAAGGCUUGUUUUUUUCUAACUAUCUUUUCUCUCCCCUCCUCUCUCUCUCUCUCUCAUUUUUUCUAUUUCUUUGGAACGAGUUUACAGACGCAAGAUAAUAUAAUUGGGUAAAGUAAUAGAAGAAGAAAGAAAGAAAGAAAAAAAAAAAAUAGAACAAAACAGAACAAAACAAAACAAAACCGAGUACUGCCUUUCGCUGGCUCAUUUCCGCAUCGCCGUGUAUCUUUUCCAUGAGAUGAAACGCAAAUUACCGAGCAUCUCUCUCUCUCUCUCUCCCUCUCUCUCUCUCUCUCUCUCUGAUUUCUAGACCAACGGAUGAGAAAUCUUCCACGAAAAGCGUAAUAACAAUGAGACAAAAUAUAACGAGGAAAAAACGAGGAUCGAAAGGGAUGUUCUAACGGAAAGGGAUAGGAAGGGAGAGAGAGAGAGAGAGGGAGGAAGGGAGGGAAAGAGCGGGGAAAUAUGAAUAUAAGCAAAAAGGAAAGAAAGAGAGAAAGAAAGAAAGGAAGAAAGAAAGAAUAACAGAAAGAGAAAGAGAUAAAGGAACGAAAAAGGGCAACGAAAGAGGAUAAAGAUCCUUCUACUCCAUUCAUGGAUAACCUUGACCAUUGUUGAAGCUUGCUCUAAUGCCUACCGAUCCUUGCAGGUUCAUUUUUUUUUUCUCACCCUUGCUUUCCUAACGAGCGUCAUUCCCAUAAAUUUUCUUACCCUUCCUGGGAUCGUUAAAAAUCGUCCUAUGUACUCUUACUUAGAUCUUUUAAAAAUUCUUAUUAAAACGGCUACCCUUCAAAGAAAAAACAAAAAAAAAAAAAAAAAAAAAAAAAAAAAAAAAAAAAAAAAACAAGAAAAAAAAAAAGAAAAAAAAAGUGAGAGAUACUUUGUCUCUCCUUGUUUGUCAAUGGAUUUGAAAGUGGUAUAUAUAGAAUGGAGGGAUAGAGAGAGGGGGAGGGGAAUAGAGAGAAGAGGACAUCUAGAAAUAUUGAUGAAAGCAAGGACAUGGAGAUAAAGGAAGGAAUCACCGUUAACGUUGGAUUGAAUCAACGCAACAUCUCGUCUGGUUCCUCGUUUCCGGCAACAAUAUCGACGUACCCAACCAUCGAGCCAAGUCGACUAAUGAAUCGAGCUUCGACGUUCCUCGUUAACGGCAAUUAUCAAAGGAAUCGAUAUAUGUAUAUAGAGAAAAAUGUUCGCGGCUAAAGUUCGUUAGCAGUCAACGCGGUAGCUGUUUUUUCGUCGCGGAAACUAACGAUCUUCGUUCUUUCUCUUUUACUCCUUUUUAUCGACGUCAAAUCAUGACGGGUGGCUUCAUCGUUGAACGCAUAGAAAACGAUUUUCUUUUCUUCCUCUUUUUUUUUCCUUGUUUUUCUUUUUUUUUUUUUUUCUUUUUCCUUUCUUUCCCUCGAAUGAAUUUUAUAGUCAAAGGAGAAAAUAUCGUAAAUUUUCUUUUUUUUUUUUUUUUUUUUAAGAUCGUUAAACGAUCGUAAGAUUUCUGCGAAUCGUUUAUGAUGACUUGUUUUAUACACGAAUUAACUUCUUUCUCUCUCUCUCUCUCUCUCUCUCUCUCUCUCUCUCUCUCUCUCUCUCUCUCUCUCUUCUCUUCUCUUUUUCAAAUCGUUUUAUCUUUUUAAUAAAAUAAAAUUCUUACUUUCUUUUUUAUUUAUUUCUUUCCUUUUUUUUUUCGUGCAAGAUUUAUAUGAUCCCUUCUUUCUGAAAAAGUCAUAUUUUUUAACUUUAAGAAUUUAUAUGAAAAAUCAGAUAUAAAUAUAUUUAUACCUAAUAAAAGUGAGAGAGACAGAGGGACAGAGGGGGAGAGAGAGAGAGAGAGAGAGAGAGAGAGAGAGAGAGAGAGAGAGAGAAAGAAGAAACCUGUGUACACGUAUGUGAAAGUAUAAAGUGAUUAAAUAUAAAGUAGAAAGUUCGUUUAAAAUAGUUUUCAAACGAAUUCGAAAAAUAUCUUUAUUUAUGGCCAAAUAUUUCUAAUUUUAAUUCGUAAGUUCUCCAAAAUGUGAAUGUCAACGAUUCAAAUUGUAGACCAUAAAUGCGAUCGUAGAUCGGAAACAUA
Vespa velutina is the source of this 9046-nucleotide long non-coding RNA. RefSeq lists it as uncharacterized. The record is from RefSeq and is a predicted model, not a curated record. The transcript has 2 exons. Lineage: Eukaryota; Metazoa; Arthropoda; Insecta; Hymenoptera; Vespidae.